GGUGUGGAUAUGCACCCUGAAAAUAUUUGGCAUACCAGAGCAUACUUGGAUGUGUAUAUACAUAAUUGUGAGAAACGUGAAAAUAAAUUGUUUUAUAUUUUAAUAUUUUUCCUUAUGUCUAACUUUCUUUAAGCACCAAUAAUUUUUAAAAAUAUAAAAAUAUUAUAAAUAUUUGUGUGAGGCAAGAGGAAUAUUGUUGGGUCUUCUAGUUACAAACCAUAGGAUCUUAGAGAUAACAAUGAACAUUCCCAAAAGCUCCCAUUUAGGAAGUUUUUGGUUGAUGGCAUGACCCUUGAAGGGAUCUGACUUCCUGAGAGAGUGACUCAUAAAUAAUUACUCCUUUUUAUGAUACAAAUAUUUUUGAAGAACAGCUAAAGUCUUCAUUAAAAAAGCAUUAUGCUCCUAUGAGAUUUCCCCAUGCCUAAGAUUAAUAUCACAGUUGAGGAGACCUGGGUAUUUUUUUUUUACCUUACAAUUGUACAUGAAUAAUUAUUUUGUGCAGUGCCAUAGGUUAAAUGCAUAUCAUGAAAUUCACUUUCCUCCCGAUUGCCAUUUCUGUCACUUAAUUCAAUCAAAGUCCACAAAAAUACAGUAUGACUCAGAAUAUUGGAGCUGUGGCUAAUCAAGAAAAGUUCAUUCAAAAUUGAUUUUCUUUCAGGAAUCCUUGAUAUUCUUCAUUCCAAUUGUUCACCUCUACUGUAGGGCUCAGUAAACACUUAAGGAAGUUGCCGUGCACUGCAGCCUGCCGGAGACAUGAAGGAAUGUACGGGAGGAUAAUCGCAACAUCAUCAACCCAAUUCUCCAAGUAAUUUGCCAUGGGACAGGCACACCCCAUGUGUUUGGGAAGACAAUGGGAAGGUUCUGUUUUCUGCUCCAAGACUGAUUCAACCAGUUGGAUCUGGAAGGGGAUAAAGGGCUGUGUGGCUGCUUGAUUUUCAUUGUCUAGUGGCAGCCAAAAUUGGAAAAGAGAGAAGUGCAGACUUUAAAGACAAGCAGCGACAGCUCAUCAGCAGUCUAACAACACGACAGAUGACAGGCCCAGAGGCACACCCAGGGCCGCCAGCCCAUCACCCUGUGCAGGAUGUCAAAGAGCAGCUGCAGCAA
This 1104-nucleotide long non-coding RNA is filed under the name Pan troglodytes (chimpanzee). RNAcentral's name for it is "lincRNA". Lineage: Eukaryota; Metazoa; Chordata; Mammalia; Primates; Hominidae. The record is from RNAcentral.